GGAGGGAUCAUUACCGAGUUUACAACUCCCAAACCCCUGUGAACAUACCACUUGUUGCCUCGGCGGAUCAGCCCGCUCCCGGUAAAACGGGACGGCCCGCCAGAGGACCCCUAAACUCUGUUUCUAUAUGUAACUUCUGAGUAAAACCAUAAAUAAAUCAAAACUUUCAACAACGGAUCUCUUGGUUCUGGCAUCGAUGAAGAACGCAGCAAAAUGCGAUAAGUAAUGUGAAUUGCAGAAUUCAGUGAAUCAUCGAAUCUUUGAACGCACAUUGCGCCCGCCAGUAUUCUGGCGGGCAUGCCUGUUCGAGCGUCAUUUCAACCCUCAAGCACAGCUUGGUGUUGGGACUCGCGUUAAUUCGCGUUCCUCAAAUUGAUUGGCGGUCACGUCGAGCUUCCAUAGCGUAGUAGUAAAACCCUCGUUACUGGUAAUCGUCGCGGCCACGCCGUUAAACCCCAACUUCUGAAUGUUGACCUCGGAUCAGGUAGGAAUACCCGCUGAAC
RNAcentral lists this ribosomal RNA (503 nucleotides) under uncultured Fusarium. Its description in RNAcentral is "eukaryotic LSU rRNA". The stretch from base 162 to 315 matches the Rfam family "5.8S ribosomal RNA". The record is from RNAcentral. Lineage: Eukaryota; Fungi; Ascomycota; Sordariomycetes; Hypocreales; Nectriaceae.